UAAUACGUAGGUGACAAGCGUUAUCCGGAAUUACUGGGCGUAAAGCGCACGCAGGCGGUGCGUUAAGUCUGACGUGAAAUCUCCCGGCUUAACUGGGAGGGGUCGUUGGAAACUGGCGGACUUGAGGCGAUGAGAGGGGUGUAGAAUUCCCGGUGUAGUGGUGGAAUGCGUAGAUAUCGGGAGGAAUACCAGUGGCGAAAGCGGCACCCUGGCAUUAGCCUGACGCUCAUGUGCGAAGGCGUGGGGAGCGAACGGGA
Molecule: ribosomal RNA, 257 nt
Filed under: uncultured prokaryote
Description: partial 16S ribosomal RNA
Rfam family: Bacterial small subunit ribosomal RNA
Source: RNAcentral